CUGGAGCCUCAAGAAGGAGGGUGGUGUCCUUGGUGAUGUUGCUCCCACGAUCCUUGCGGCUAUGGGUCUCCCCCAGCCCGCGGAGAUGACUGGCCAGAACCUUCUUGUCAAGGCCUAAAGUAGAACUUGUAAUGAUUGGAUGGCGUGAUGAAAUAAGUAACAUAGAUUAUAGACGGGAAUGACAACG
RNAcentral lists this small nucleolar RNA (187 nucleotides) under Neurospora crassa. RNAcentral's name for it is "box H/ACA snoRNA ACA16". Lineage: Eukaryota; Fungi; Ascomycota; Sordariomycetes; Sordariales; Sordariaceae. The record is from RNAcentral.